Molecule: long non-coding RNA, 1157 nt
Filed under: Brassica napus (rape)
Lineage: Eukaryota; Viridiplantae; Streptophyta; Magnoliopsida; Brassicales; Brassicaceae
Description: long non-coding RNA (BNAP_LNC000353)
Source: RNAcentral
UGGCUGGUUACUCAGGUUUUGCAACAUGUAAGGAACUGAAGCUUUCAUGAUCACAAGGGAUGUAUGUUGUCUUUGCAAAAGAUGAUCAAGGUUCUGGUCUAGGUCAGAUUGUGCGUUGGUCAGUUUGAUUGUCGAAGAGAUAUGCAGUGUGGUUUCAGAAAGGUGUAAAGAAUGACAGUUGGUGACACUCUGUUAUCUCAGGUCUAAGGGACGUCUUAGAAGUUGAAGAUGGUAUGUGUGUUCAGGGGCUAUUCGGAUUUUAAUCAAUGGUUCCAGGGUUCGGGUGUGAACAAAAAGUUCCAGAGAAGUGUUCAACGCGAGGAGGCGUUGAUUAGGUUUGGAACGAGAUAGGGUGUUGGUACUUUGAGGCUUCAAAGUCGGUUCAGUUAAGAAGAUUUGAGUUGCAGGGUUGAAGGUUCAGUCACAGAGAGGUUAAGGAUCAGGUUCUUGUGGUUUAAAGGAAGCUUAAGGGAUGAUCGGGGUUAAAAAAGAUCACAAUGGAGCUUGUACCAGCACAUGUUGGUUUCUUGUGGCAAUGAUGUGACGAAAUAGAUGGCGUUCUGUUUUGGGUCAGUGCAAGAAUAUGAGUGAAUCUCAUUGGAUACGUGAGAUGUAAUGUUUCUGGUUGAUAGAAACAUGUUGUAUCUCCACGAAGAAAGAACUAGAGUAAAGGAAAAUUGUGUAAAGGCCUACACAAGUAUAUGUUGGAGCAAAUUGCCAUUUGUGGUAACAACAUGUAGUAGUUCUGGUGAGGUCGUGUGAGUGACAAGAGCAAGCCAUGGGAGAAGGCGAUUCAAGGUUAGAGUUUGCUUGGAGAUUCUGGUCAAAAGCAGAGGAAAAUGCGCAGGAAGAAUCUGGUAGAACAUGUUGAGCGACACUUGUUUAGGAAGCAUUGUUCACUACCACAGCUAGGAGAAGCGUGUGUGAAUUUACCUUUGAGGAAUCGUCAUGAUGGUCUGAGUCAGAAGUUUCAGAGGAACAGACUCAGGAGAAAUAAGGGACGACAGUAUUGGUGCCAUGACCAAAGUCGUCAAGGUGGAGCGCUCGGACAAAGAGGUAAAGCUCUGAAUCAUAAAAAAGGAUGAAGUUGUAAUCUUCCAAAGGAGAAAAUACUUGCGGACUUGACAAGUAUGGAAAUCAGGCUUGGACAGGUCACG